GAAAAAAAUAACUGGAAAUAAAUAUGAAUGGAUCACUAUUAAACACAUAUAUCCACGCAAUUUUAUGUGCAUUCGACAGUAUCGCCACAUUACACGAACAAGCAAAAAUUUACCAAUGAAACCACAAAUAUUUGGUUACAACUCACAAUCCACUUAAAGAGAAUAGCUAUCAAUCAAAAUAGAGGGCCCAAUUAUCCGCCGAUAAUGUAUUAGCCAAUUUACAGCAAUCCAUCCAUGACCGAGUUAAUAACAAUAAUGGACUGCAAUUUUUUACUCCUUGGACGACUUGUUGAUUAGAGACUUGUGAAUGUGAGGGAUCACACCACCUCCAGCUAUGGUUCCUUUGAUGAGGGUGUCAAGUUCUUCAUCACCACGAAUUGCUAGUUGCAAAUGCCUCGGUGUUAUACGUUUCACCUUCAGAUCCUUGCUUGCAUUACCAGCCAGCUCCAACACUUCUGCUGUGAGGUACUCUAAGAUAGCAGCAGAGUAUACGGCUGCUGUUGCACCAACUCUUCCAUGUGCAGUUACCCUAGAUUUCAGAAGACGAUGGAUACGGCCAACAGGAAACUGCAAGAAUAGAUGCAGAGUAAAGUUUAAAAAAAGGCUGUAUUCAUGAGGAAUUUGAAGGCUAAAGUUAAGAGUUUGGAUUCAGAGCUAUGGAAUAUAGGCAUUGGGAUUAAGAAAACCAAAAGCAAUCACAGGAAGCUUGAAAUUGCUUCUAGAAAAGAAAUGCAAACAGAACAGAAUAAAUAACAUGCAAACAAAUUGCAAUACAAAGUGAGAGAUUCCUGUACUGGAGACUUUCUAAAGAAAAACAUCCAAUUCUAUGUAGUUAAAACUCCAUGAAAGAAUGCACACAAAAUGCAAAGGUACCCUCACCACUGUAGAUAAUGUCACUGAUCUAUAGAAUAGCAUCUUAAAACAAUAGCCUUGAACUGAGAUAUAUCGUUCCAGCCAUUUUAUGGGAUCUACUGUGUUGACAUCAUUAUUUAGGAAAUUCAAAGGUGCUAGAACUUUGAUCCCAUCCCAAUAAAAGCUCUCAUAACAAUUCGCCAAGCCAAAAAAGAAAGAAAAUCGAGAAUUAAAUUUCCCGCUUCACAUCAUUUAGAUCUCCAAACUACAACUUCCCAGAUAAAUUAACGCAAAUGGUUCAUCAAAUUUUAAUAGAAAUAUCAGCACCCAGUAUUCAUGUCUCAAUAAAUUAGAAAUCUUUGACUACAGGACUUCAAUCCAAUUCAUUAAUCACAUUAUAUCCUAGAAGUAACAAACACCCCAUGAAAACUACAACCAAUAUUAACAAGCAAGAGCCCGUCCUAAGGAGCAAGGCAAAACCCAAAAGCCCAGCAAGGCAAUUACAUCAACAUCAAAAAAUCGAAGGGAAUUGAGAAGACAUAAGGGAACCUGCAGACCAGCGCGAGAGGAGCGAGAAGUGGGUUUCUUCUUAUCUUUAUCUUUUGGGGCUGGGGUUUUUCCCGUUAUCAAUCCCUUGGCUCCUUUCCCUGACAUCUCCUUCUCUCCUUUUACUUAACAAGAGCGCGAGAUCAAGCUAAGCUCUUACCAGUUCCUUCCUUCCUUCCGAGAUCUUUUAGUUUUCGAGAUACGAUAAGACAGAGAGAGA
RNAcentral lists this unclassified non-coding RNA (1618 nucleotides) under Hevea brasiliensis (rubber tree). The record is from RNAcentral. Lineage: Eukaryota; Viridiplantae; Streptophyta; Magnoliopsida; Malpighiales; Euphorbiaceae.